RNAcentral lists this ribosomal RNA (460 nucleotides) under uncultured bacterium. RNAcentral describes it as "partial 16S ribosomal RNA". It matches the Rfam family "Bacterial small subunit ribosomal RNA", at positions 338 to 795 of the family's 1533-position model. The record is from RNAcentral.
CCUACGGGAGGCAGCAGUGAGGAAUAUUGGUCAAUGGACGAGAGUCUGAACCAGCCAAGUAGCGUGAAGGAUGACUGCCCUAUGGGUUGUAAACUUCUUUUAUAUGGGAAUAAAAUGUUCCACGUGUGGGAUUUUGUAUGUACCAUAUUAAUAAGGAUCGGCUAACUCCGUGCCAGCAGCCGCGGUAAUACGGAGGAUCCGAGCGUUAUCCGGAUUUAUUGGGUUUAAAGGGAGCGUAGGUGGAUUGUUAAGUCAGUUGUGAAAGUUUGCGGCUCAACCGUAAAAUUGCAGUUGAAACUGGCAGUCUUGAGUACAGUAGAGGUGGGCGGAAUUCGUGGUGUAGCGGUGAAAUGCUUAGAUAUCACGAAGAACUCCGAUUGCGAAGGCAGUUCACUGGACUGCAACUGACACCGAGGCUCGAAAGUGUGGGUAUCAAACAGGAUUAGAUACCCGAGUAGUC